AUACGUAGGGAGCGAGCGUUGUCCGGAAUUACUGGGCGUAAAGGGUGCGUAGGCGGCUAGGCAAGUCAGAUGUGAAAUCCCCGGGCUUAACUCGGGUGGUGCAUUUGAAACUGCUUGGCUUGAGUGCAGGAGAGGAAAGCGGAAUUCCUAGUGUAGCGGUGAAAUGCGUAGAUAUUAGGAGGAACACCAGUGGCGAAGGCGGCUUUCUGGACUGUAACUGACGCUGAGGCACGAAAGCGUGGGGAGCAAACAGGAUUAGAUACCCUGGUAGUCCACGCUGUAAACGAUGGAUACUAGGUGUGGGGGAGAUACAACCUCCGUGCCGCAGCAAACGCAAUAAGUAUCCCGCCUGGGGAGUACGGUCGCAAGGCUGAA
This 375-nucleotide ribosomal RNA is filed under the name uncultured bacterium. RNAcentral's name for it is "bacterial SSU rRNA". It matches the Rfam family "Bacterial small subunit ribosomal RNA", at positions 523 to 898 of the family's 1533-position model. The record is from RNAcentral.